This 66-nucleotide transfer RNA is filed under the name Micropotamogale ruwenzorii (Ruwenzori otter shrew). RNAcentral describes it as "tRNA-Cys". It matches the Rfam family "tRNA". From Rfam's summary of the family: Transfer RNA (tRNA) molecules are approximately 80 nucleotides in length. Their secondary structure includes four short double-helical elements and three loops (D, anti-codon, and T loops). Further hydrogen bonds mediate the characteristic L-shaped molecular structure. tRNAs have two regions of fundamental functional importance: the anti-codon, which is responsible for specific mRNA codon recognition, and the 3' end, to which the tRNAs corresponding amino acid is attached (by aminoacyl-tRNA synthetases). tRNAs cope with the degeneracy of the genetic code in two manners: having more than one tRNA (with a specific anti-codon) for a particular amino acid; and 'wobble' base-pairing, i.e. permitting non-standard base-pairing at the 3rd anti-codon position. Lineage: Eukaryota; Metazoa; Chordata; Mammalia; Afrosoricida; Tenrecidae. The record is from RNAcentral.
AGUCUCGAAAUGAUAAUCAUGCUAGAUUGCAAAUCUAGUUUAGCAGCUUCAAAUCUGCCGGGACUU